This 292-nucleotide ribosomal RNA is filed under the name uncultured bacterium. RNAcentral describes it as "partial 16S ribosomal RNA". It matches the Rfam family "Bacterial small subunit ribosomal RNA", at positions 505 to 796 of the family's 1533-position model. The record is from RNAcentral.
GUUUCAGCAGCCGCGGUAAGACAGAGGGGGCAAGCGUUGCUCGGAAUCACUGGGCGUAAAGGGCGCGUAGGCGGGAUGGCAAGUCGGUCGUGAAAUCUCUCGGCUCAACCGAGAGGGGUCGGCCGAUACUGCCUUUCUUGAGGGAUGCAGAGGAGACUGGAAUUCCCGGUGUAGCGGUGAAAUGUGUAGAGAUCGGGAGGAACACCGGUGGCGAAGGCGGGUCUCUGGGCAUCUCCUGACGCUGAGGCGCGAAAGCGUGGGGAGCAAACGGGAUUAGAAACCCCCGUAGUCC